This is a long non-coding RNA of Urocitellus parryii (Arctic ground squirrel), 2872 nucleotides long. RefSeq lists it as uncharacterized. The record is from RefSeq and is a predicted model, not a curated record. Lineage: Eukaryota; Metazoa; Chordata; Mammalia; Rodentia; Sciuridae.
GCACUAUAAAUUACCCCUUGAGAGGUGUGUUUUGUUAUAGUAGCCUAAAUGGACUUAGAAACUAAUUUAAGACACACAUCCUCCACAAUUUAAAAACACAUUGAAAUUUUAUUUAGCAUACUUAAUAUUGCACAGAAAUUACAAUACUGGCACAACAUAAACAUUACUCAAAGAUACUGAUUUCCUUGGGUUGACAGUUAAAACAUUUUCUAAAUAAGUUCUUAUAAAUAUAUCUAAUAUCAAAAUGUCUUCAGUUAACAUACUUCAUUAUAUCCUCACUGGCAAAACAUAUUGGUGAGUAACAAACACAUACUUGUUGUGUAGAACUGGAUUUUUGAUGUUAAAAUGUAAAGUUUUCAAUAGCAUCUGAAGAGUGACAUUUUGGAUUUGGCUGGAAUGCAGUGAUGGGCAGUUCUGAAGUGACGUGAUCCAGUUUCUGGGUUAAAAAUAUGCUGUUUAAAAAACAUUUAAAUGAUUUUAAAUUGAUAAGGCAAUAAUCAUAUUUUAUUACCCCAAAAUAGUUGGUUUAAAUAAAGUGUGUGGCACUAUUUUAUUAUCAUACACAAGGUCACAUAGUGGGAAGGGAGCACUGGAUUCUUGUCCAGAUUCUGUAACUAAAUAUCCAAGCCAUCCAGACAAACCAUACUCUCUCUGGGGCUCAUUUGUCAUUAUUGUUUAAAACUAAAGUAGGUUUUAGAGAAAAGGGACAAGGUUUGGCUAAAUGAUCUAAAAAAAAUCCAUUCUAGCAAAAUUCAGUUGUGUUGAAUAAAGGCCAUGUAAAUUCAAAAUACAGAUCUGUGCAAAGUGAACCAUACUGAUAUUUUACUUUUGAACCCAGAAUUUUAAUAUUAACCCCUAUCCAAAUAUCUACAAAUGAAUAUACCCUCUCUGAACCCAUCUGUAGCUAUAACAUUAGGAAUUCAUAUUGGAGCACUUUAGUUUAAGGAAGCCCAGCCCAGCCUCUGCCUGCACUUUGUAAUUUGGUAAUUUAACUUAUAAUGCACUUCUACCUUUGAAAGCAAAAUUCUUUUUCUAAUAUUUUUAUGCAUUUAAAGAAUUAUUUCUAAUAGGAGACCUUUUAAGUACUGGUGGCACACUAAGCAGGAAAUGACAGACUCCCCCCACCCAUGAAAUACAACCCCAACUGCCAGAAAUACAAGUUAUUUCAGAUGCCUUCAAAAAGUUCACUUAAAAUAGACUGCCAGAGGAAUUGCACUAGAAAACAGAAAAAUCAAUUCUAGAUGAAAGCAAACACACAGAAGCUUCCAAAUUGGCAAGAGAGAUCAGUUAUAUCAAUCAUUUAGUUAUUUAAGAGCAGGAAGCAGGAGAUGGACAGACUCUCCUAAUGUCUCAACAUUGGGGUACUUUUAGUCAUAAUUUCUGUGCUGGGUGUUUCUUAUAAAAAUAACUUCACCAGGAGGAGUCCUCCCAAGAAGCUCCAGCUCUAUGGAGCUUUGCUAUCUUCCUGCUCAUUUUCAUGGCAUUGGGGAUGUAGCAGCCAGUAAUUAGAUCAGACAUGGAAAAACAGGGAGAGAAAACUAUAAAGAAUUAUUUCUUUUAAAGGAAGUGGCCAAAGAAAAUCCAAGUCAGCUACAAUUUCCUUGUCCAUGUUGCAAAGGGAUGGGUUGAGCAGGGUCCAAGAAUGGAAAGAAAGAACUCAGCUGGGGCGGUGGCGAAGCGGUGGGAGCAAAUUCCCAAAUGGGGAAUAUGAAAAGAGGCAUCCUCAGAGACAUGACCUGCCUUGGGAAGGGCACAGAGUAGGCCCAGUAUAUCGCAUGCAUGGGUGAGCCCAGGUGAGUAGAGCGUUACUCAGCGCCCCUGGCUGGAAGCCUGGAUUUGUCCAGGAGACCUUUUUCGGAAGUCUCCUUUGUGCAUAGCAGCCCUGCUGGGUGUCAGCGCGCAAAGUCACCGUUUAAUUCCCGCUAGCUCCAGACACAUUAGGGCCUCUUUAAAGCAGAAAGCUGAUCCAGGGGCUUCCUUCCCGGGCACAGCGGCAGGCACCAGAAGGUCGACAGUCGUCCUGCCCAGCAGGGCGCCUCUUCCUGGACACCACCAAGUUGAGGCUCUCUGGAGACUUGCACCUCACAGGAGCGUUCGCUCCCUAACAAUAACCAAGAAAUUGAAGAGUGAUUUUAUGUCAUCAGUGGAAAUAUUGUUGAUGUUUACUAAAUUGAUCAGUGAGAAGAAAACACAAAGUUGAAUAUGGACCAUACAGGAAAGAAACAUGAUUUAAAAACUCCAGCAUGGUCAUAUGGAACAACCCUGGCCAGUGAUAUCUGGGAAUACGCCUGCUGGAGGGAUCUAGACAAAGUUGCCCUUGAUGUUACAAAAAGGACUAAUAAUAAAGUCUGGUCUUUGGCUUUUUGGAUGCUGUCUUAUGAGAAAUGAUGUGUGGAACUGUUGGCAUUAAAAAACUUAACUGAGAUUUCUGACAUUUAGAGAGCCAUGAAAUUUACCCUAGAAUAGUCCCAUCUCUGAACUUCCUAUAAGUUAAUGACUUUCCUCAUCAAUUGAGAGAGGUGUGAUUUAAAAAAUCCAGACUCUAAGCAAUAUAAGAAUUAUAUCAAAUCCUCUGUGUUUAAUGGCUCUCUAACAGUAAUUUUUUCAAAAUGACAAUAUGAUAUUAAGAGAAUAUUUACUGCUUUCUAGAUUUUUUUCUGCAUUUUUCUUUAUAUAUAUGUUAAUUACAUAACUAGUCAAGGAUGGCACCUUAAACUUCAUAAAAGUGACAUAUUUAAGGUUUUCUGCCAUUUAUUCUGACUUUAUCACAUGCCUUUUUAUUCCCAUUGUUAUAUCCCUCUUCAUUCAUGUACUCCCUUUAAACUUGAACUAGAGUUUUAGAUAUUAUUGAUUAUACUCUUCCAAUUUCUUU